This 247-nucleotide non-coding RNA is filed under the name unidentified. RNAcentral's name for it is "Listeriaceae bacterium T-box sequence". It matches the Rfam family "T-box leader". Rfam says of the family: Uncharged tRNA acts as the effector for transcription antitermination of genes in the T-box leader family. The record is from RNAcentral.
CGAGAAGCUAUAAUAGAGACAAGUACAAGUUCCACCCAAAUUCUAUUUUUCAAGCGAGCUGUGGUCGGUGUAAGCACAGCAAUAGAAUGGAACAUUAGAAAUCACUCUGGAGCUCUUUUUCCGAACAGCCAGAACAUGGCCAACUAAGAAACAGCGUACGUCGGCGUUAACGAUGGAACGAAGUGGGCAAAGAUACAAAAUCAAUGUCAACAAGGGUGGUACCGCGAUAAAUAAACUCGUCCCUUUU